This 397-nucleotide ribosomal RNA is filed under the name uncultured bacterium. Its description in RNAcentral is "bacterial SSU rRNA". It matches the Rfam family "Bacterial small subunit ribosomal RNA", at positions 9 to 430 of the family's 1533-position model. The record is from RNAcentral.
GAGUUUGAUCAUGGCUCAGGAUGAACGCUGGCGGUAUGCUUUACACAUGCAAGUCGUACGAGAGUUUUUAACUCAAGUGGCGGACGGGUGAGUAACACGUAAGAAUUUGCCUUUAGGAGGGGGAUAACAACUGGAAACGGUUGCUAAUACCCCAUAUGCUUUCGAGUGAAAUGGAUUUAUCCGCCUAGAGAGAAGCUUGCGGCUGAUUAGCUUGUUGGUAAGGUAAUGGCUUACCAAGGCGACGAUCAGUAUCUGGUUUGAGAGGACGACCAGUCACACUGGAACUGAGACACGGUCCAGACUCCUACGGGAGGCAGCAGUGGGGAAUUUUCUGCAAUGGGCGAAAGCCUGACAGAGCAAUACCGCGUGAGGGAAGAAAGCCCACAGGGUUGUAAAC